RNAcentral lists this long non-coding RNA (273 nucleotides) under Lathyrus oleraceus (garden pea). RNAcentral's name for it is "Pisum sativum (pea) long non-coding RNA (PSAT_LNC036415)". The record is from RNAcentral. Lineage: Eukaryota; Viridiplantae; Streptophyta; Magnoliopsida; Fabales; Fabaceae.
UUGUUUUUAACUUUGAGCCUUUUUAAACCACCAUGUAGUAAUAUGUAUAUCCAUUGCUAACCACUUUGAGCUUUAGCCUUUAUUUUGGUGACGUGGCCUGAAACUCUUAGCCAUAUGACUUAAAAUAUAUUUUCUUCCCACCAUCUCUUUGGAGUUAGGUAAAAGUAUAGUUCUUAAAGUAUAUGAAAAUGUUUAAUUUAGGGGUUGUUAUUGGAAGUGAGCAAAGUUUUAAGUUUGGGGUUGAGGUACUAGAGAAUAUUGGUCAAAAAUUUC